CGAGCGGAUGAAGGGAGCUUGCUCCUGGAUUCAGCGGCGGACGGGUGAGUAAUGCCUAGGAAUCUGCCUGGUAGUGGGGGAUAACGUCCGGAAACGGGCGCUAAUACCGCAUACGUCCUGAGGGAGAAAGUGGGGGAUCUUCGGACCUCACGCUAUCAGAUGAGCCUAGGUCGGAUUAGCUAGUUGGUGGGGUAAAGGCCUACCAAGGCGACGAUCCGUAACUGGUCUGAGAGGAUGAUCAGUCACACUGGAACUGAGACACGGUCCAGACUCCUACGGGAGGCAGCAGUGGGGAAUAUUGGACAAUGGGCGAAAGCCUGAUCCAGCCAUGCCGCGUGUGUGAAGAAGGUCUUCGGAUUGUAAAGCACUUUAAGUUGGGAGGAAGGGCAGUAAGUUAAUACCUUGCUGUUUUGACGUUACCAACAGAAUAAGCACCGGCUAACUUCGUGCCAGCAGCCGCGNUAAUACGAAGGGUGCAAGCGUUAAUCGGAAUUACUGGGCGUAAAGCGCGCGUAGGUGGUUCAGCAAGUUGGAUGUGAAAUCCCCGGGCUCAACCUGGGAACUGCAUCCAAAACUACUG
RNAcentral lists this ribosomal RNA (580 nucleotides) under Pseudomonas aeruginosa. Its description in RNAcentral is "bacterial SSU rRNA". It matches the Rfam family "Bacterial small subunit ribosomal RNA", at positions 63 to 638 of the family's 1533-position model. Lineage: Bacteria; Pseudomonadati; Pseudomonadota; Gammaproteobacteria; Pseudomonadales; Pseudomonadaceae. The record is from RNAcentral.